Molecule: ribosomal RNA, 375 nt
Filed under: uncultured bacterium
Lineage: Bacteria
Description: bacterial SSU rRNA
Rfam family: Bacterial small subunit ribosomal RNA
Source: RNAcentral
GAGUAACGCGUAGGAAUCUACCUAAUAGUGGGGGAUAGCCCGAAGAAAUUCGGAUUAAUACCGCAUAAUCUAUUCGUAGUAAAGUGGGGGACUUUCGAGCCUCACGCUAUUAGAUGAGCCUGCGUAAGAUUAGCUUGUUGGUAGGGUAAAAGCCUACCAAGGCUACGAUCUUUAGCUGGUCUGAGAGGAUGAUCAGCCACAUCGGGACUGAGACACGGCCCGAACUCCUACGGGAGGCAGCAGUGGGGAAUAUUGGACAAUGGGGGCAACCCUGAUCCAGCAAUACCGCGUGUGUGAAGAAGGCCUGAGGGUUGUAAAGCACUUUCAAUUGUGAAGAAAAGUUAACGGUUAAUAACCGUUAGCCUUGACGUUAAC